UGGGUUUCCGCUGCCGCCUGACUGUCACCGCCGGGGCUGGGUAUGAAGGGACCAAACUUGUCAACUUCAUCUUUACUAACCAUGCAUAAAUUGCACUAUUCCUGUUUUCAUCAGGAUUACAAUGCAAAACGUGGGUGUAUUCCUGAAGCAUAGCAUAGUCUGGUAAAGUAUUAAACGAAAUACCUAAUCUCUGAAGUUUUAUUAAUUCGUGUAUGCACUAAUAUACUCACUACAAGCGCACGAAAGAAACCAAAUAAAUAAAUAAAUAAAUAUAAGCAAUGAAA
RNAcentral lists this long non-coding RNA (284 nucleotides) under Penaeus japonicus. RNAcentral's name for it is "uncharacterized LOC122254283". Lineage: Eukaryota; Metazoa; Arthropoda; Malacostraca; Decapoda; Penaeidae. The record is from RNAcentral.